AGAGUUUGAUCAUGGCUCAGAACGAACGCUGGCGGCGUGCCUAACACAUGCAAGUCGAACGCGAAAAGGUCUUCGGAUCUGAGUAGAGUGGCGGACGGGUGAGUAACACGUGGAUAACGUACCUUUCGGUUUGGAAUAACUCGGGGAAACCCGAGCUAAUACCGACUAACACCAUAUAGCGAGAGUUAAAUGGUCAAAGCUGGGGCUUUCUUCGGAAACCUGGCGCCGGAAGAUCGGUCUGCGUCCCAUCAGCUAGUUGGUAGGGUAAUGGCCUACCAAGGCUAAGACGGGUAACUGGUCUGAGAGGAUGAUCAGUCACACUGGAACUGAGAUACGGUCCAGACUCCUACGGGAGGCAGCAGUGGGGAAUAUUGCGCAAUGGGCGAAAGCCUGACGCAGCAACGCCGCGUGAGCGAUGAAGGCCUUCGGGUUGUAAAGCUCUGUCGGAAGAGACGAAGUGGUUGUGGCUUAAUACGUCAUGAUUGUGACGGUUCUCCAAGAGA
RNAcentral lists this ribosomal RNA (503 nucleotides) under uncultured Geopsychrobacter sp. RNAcentral's name for it is "bacterial SSU rRNA". It matches the Rfam family "Bacterial small subunit ribosomal RNA", at positions 8 to 488 of the family's 1533-position model. Lineage: Bacteria; Pseudomonadati; Thermodesulfobacteriota; Desulfuromonadia; Desulfuromonadales; Geopsychrobacteraceae. The record is from RNAcentral.